This 306-nucleotide ribosomal RNA is filed under the name uncultured bacterium. RNAcentral's name for it is "partial 16S ribosomal RNA". It matches the Rfam family "Bacterial small subunit ribosomal RNA", at positions 505 to 809 of the family's 1533-position model. The record is from RNAcentral.
GACAGCAGUAGCCACGGGAAUACAGAGGGUGCGAGCGUUAAUCGGAUUUACUGGGCGUAAAGCGUGCGUAGGCGGCUUCUUAAGUCGGAUGUGAAAUCCCUGAGCUUAACUUAGGAAUUGCAUUCGAUACUGGGAAGCUAGAGUAUGGGAGAGGAUGGUAGAAUUCCAGGUGUAGCGGUGAAAUGCGUAGAGAUCUGGAGGAAUACCGAUGGCGAAGGCAGCCAUCUGGCCUAAUACUGACGCUGAGGUACGAAAGCAUGGGGAGCAAACAGGAUUAGAUACCCCUGUAGUCCCUGUCUCUUAUAA